GCGAGGUAAAAGCUGGCCUCUAUACAUAAGCUAGCACUUGAGGAUGAGCCCGCGGCGCAUCAGCUUGUUGGUGAGGUAAUGGCUCACCAAGGCUAAGACGCGUAGCUGGUCUGAGAGGAUGAUCAGCCACACUGGAACUGAGACACGGUCCAGACUCCUACGGGAGGCAGCAGUGGGGAAUCUUGCGCAAUGGGCGAAAGCCUGACGCAGCGACGCCGCGUGAGUGAUGAAGGCCUUCGGGUUGUAAAGCUCUGUGGGGCGAGACGAAUAAGUGCAGCCUAAUACGCUGCAUGAUGACGGUAUCGCCUUAGCAAGCACCGGCUAACUCUGUGCCAGCAGCCGCGGUAA
This 348-nucleotide ribosomal RNA is filed under the name uncultured delta proteobacterium. RNAcentral describes it as "bacterial SSU rRNA". It matches the Rfam family "Bacterial small subunit ribosomal RNA", at positions 195 to 523 of the family's 1533-position model. Lineage: Bacteria; Deltaproteobacteria. The record is from RNAcentral.